This is a long non-coding RNA of Hypanus sabinus (Atlantic stingray), 2393 nucleotides long. RefSeq lists it as uncharacterized. The record is from RefSeq and is a predicted model, not a curated record. NCBI's taxonomy places the organism in Eukaryota, Metazoa, Chordata, Chondrichthyes, Myliobatiformes, Dasyatidae. The transcript is spliced from 2 exons.
AACCAGGAAGGGAGCAAGUGAGUAAUUUGCCGAUAUCCCAGGGACCAGAUACGGUGCUGGAGCAAGAGCUGCGAGCUUUGACACACCGCGCAUCGUGCCAGCGGACACCACCGCCCUAAGAGGUGUUUCUUUGGGCAUUCCUCUCCCUCAUUCUGCCGGCCCCUGGAGAGAAAAGACCCUGACGUUUCCACCCCCCCUACCCCGAAUAUUUUUCGCUUCUUGAUGAAGGGGCCACCGCUCUCCUCCGUAGGAAUUCGGCCUUAAAAAUGAAGGGAUGGGGGAGGGGGGGUUUGUGGAAAUGAGUUGACGACUACAUUUGUAGUGUUUCCCGCUGCCCCUGUAGGAGAACCCCCGCCUCCUGGCAGCCCGGAGUCUUUAUGCAAGCAGGUCCACGGGUUGGGAUUUAACUGAGACUUAAUGUGGAUAGGAAAGGUCCAGAGAGAAAUGGGCUGAACUCAGCAUAUGGUAUGUGGGCACUUUGGUCAGCAUGGACCAUGUGGGCCAUACUCCAUGUUAGAUGUACCAGCUCACUGUCAAUACCCACUGGUAGAAUGCCAAGGCAAGCACAGGAUCAUUGAAAACUUGCAUUUGGCCCCUGUUAUUUCUGCCAGUCAGACAGGAACUCCCUUGGCCAACCUCCUUUCAAUUCUAGGUCCCUGGCUCUUUGGGGACCACACAGCCUGUUCUGUUCGCUCUGGGAAGUGUGGGUUCUGCAGGCUGAGAAGAGGUGGUGAGCUGCCUUCUUGAACCACCACAGUUCUUGCGGUGUGAGUGUACCCGGACAUGGUGAAGGAAGAGUUAUGUGUUCCAAAAUAGGACAACAUGCCUUUGAGGGCAACUUGCAGAUGGUGGUAUUCGCCACGAUUGUGAUGUCUCCGUCCUUAUAGCUGGCGAAGAUCGUAGGAAAGGAAGGCACUUUCUAAUGAGUCCUGAUGAAAAGCCUUGGCCCGAAACAUCAACUAUACUCUAUUCCACAGAUGCUGCUUGCCUGCUGAGUCCCUCCAACAUUUUGUGUGUGUGUGUUGCUUGUGUAACGCCCUGGUUAAGAUUUUUUUUACUGCUCUGCUGUAGGCAUUUCAUUUUAGCCAGUCUGUUUUGCUUUCAACCUGUUUGGGUUCAAGCUAACACAAGUGGCUUUGUUGUUCAACUUAGGAGUGUGGUGUCAGCCAGUCAGGGUGGUGGAAUUGGGAGAAAGUUCUAGAGAACACUGGGCGGAGAGAUUUUUUGUGACGGACACUGAUGUGUGGGUCGUGUUCUUUUGGGUGGGGGGGUUGCGAGAGCCAGGAAGGAAGAUGGCUGAGGAUGCUGACCCUGUUGCACAAGGUGCUUUGUGCAGAUGACUGGCUACAAGGAACAAGAACCAAUACUCCUGUGGGGGGGAGCCGUCUGUUCGAGAUGGAUUUGACCGACAUUCAGAAAGUGGUGUGUGCUUUCACGCACACCAAGGGUCCAGCGCGGGAGUUAAAUCCAACUUCAAGGUUUCCAGGAUAUGCAGCUCCCUGCUCCAGUGCGGUGAAGGUUCAUCAACAAUGCUGAAGCGCAAGGGCUUUGACCCUGUGCCAACGAAAGAAUGCCAUCUGCCCGAGUCAGGCUGGCGUGUGUCCUGGGGGAGCACUUUGAGAUGCAGGGUGAGAGGUAGGGUUUCCUCAGCUGUGAUGUCACGUCAGCUCAUGGAGCCCACAGUCCAACAUUAAGCUGUCCAAGUUCGCAAAGACUUUAGAUUACCCAUGCAACAUUGCCAGAAAGAUUUUGAACUGCCUCUCUCCAUGUUGCUCCUGCGUCCUUGUUAGUCUCCAGGAGCGGGGGGAAGGAUCUCUUCCCUACAAGCCAGUGUCUUGUCAAAAAGGGCUCAUCGCCAACGCUCGCUACCUUGCAGUCUCCAGUAACAGUGUUAGAUAACAAGAUCUCCCAAGAGGAGAAAGGGGAGCCUACCUACUUGAUCACCUUAGCCAGCAAGAAACCCAGAGACAGACAGGUGUGGGAGAGAGACAGUCAUCACGUAACUAACAGAGGGAGAGACAGACAAAGGAAGACCACCAGAAGAGGGGAAGAGAUGGGGAGAAAGCGAGAAAGAGAGGGAGAGGGGAAGGGGAGGAGGAAGAGGAAUAGGGUAUUUCACUGCCUCUCCCUCCUGUUCAUUAGUUGGGAGCCCAGAUUCUCUGACUGGCUGGAGUAUGGUAUGUGGCCAGGAAUUGUCAAGUGCAGCUCCGUGAGGCUCUCUUGAAGCAAGUCAGCAGCAGCCACUACUGGUAACACUGAGAACAGUCAGGAAGUUUUGCUUCAAGAAUCACUGCUUUCCCACUGCGGCUCUUCAUAUUUGGGCACUGUUAUGGUUUUUAUUAUCACGUCAUGUGACUAUGAUGUCCUUGUUAAUAAAUUAUGGUUUUAAUGCA